GUAUUGUGGAAAGAUCACCUUGUAGGCAGGUGCCUGGAGGCACUGAUCCUCGACACGGGAACUCGAAGCGAAGCACGGGGAAACUGUUUUCCGUAUUGUGGAAAGAUCACCUUAUAGGCAGGUGCCUGGAGGCACUGAUCCUCGACACGGGAACUCGAAGCGAAGCACGGGGGACCUAUUUUCCGUAUUGUGGAAAGAUCACCUUGUAGGCAGGUGCCUGGAGGCACUGAUCCACUACAGGGGAACUCGAAGCGAAGCACGGGGAAACUGUUUUCCGUAUUGUGGAAAGAUCACCUUGUAGGCAGGUGCCUGGAGGCACUGAUCCUCGACACGGGAACUCGAAGCGAAGCACGGGGAAACUGUUUUCCGUAUUGUGGAAAGAUCACCUUGUAGGCAGACUGGAGGCAAUGAUCCUCGACACGGGAACUCGAAGCGAAGCACGGGGAAACUGUUUUCCGUAUUGUGGAAAGAUCACCUUAUAGGCAGGUGCCUGGAGGCACUGAUCCUCGACACGGGAACUCGAAGCGAAGCACGGGGAAACUGUUUUCCGUAUUGUGGAAAGAUCACCUUGUAGGCAGGUGCCUGGAGGCACUGAUCCUCGACACGGGAACUCGAAGCGAAGCACGGGGGAACUGUUUUCCGUAUUGUGGAAAGAUCACCUUGUAGGCAGGUGCCUGGAGGCACUGAUCCUCGACACGGGAACUCGAAGCGAAGCACGGGGAAACUGUUUUCCGUAUUGUGGAAAGAUCACCUUAUAGGCAGGUGCCUGGAGGCACUGAUCCUCGACACGGGAACUCGAAGCGAAGCACGGGGGACCUAUUUUCCGUAUUGUGGAAAGAUCACCUUGUAGGCAGGUGCCUGGAGGCACUGAUCCACUACAGGGGAACUCGAAGCGAAGCACGGGGAAACUGUUUUCCGUAUUGUGGAAAGAUCACCUUGUAGGCAGGUGCCUGGAGGCACUGAUCCUCGACACGGGAACUCGAAGCGAAGCACGGGGGAACUGUUUUCCGUAUUGUGGAAAGAUCACCUUGUAGGCAGGUGCCUGGAGGCACUGAUCCUCGACACGGGAACUCGAAGCGAAGCACGGGGAAACUGUUUUCCGUAUUGUGGAAAGAUCACCUUGUAGGCAGGUGCCUGGAGGCACUGAUCCUCGACACGGGAACUCGAAGCGAAGCACGGGGAAACUGUUUUCCGUAUUGUGGAAAGAUCACCUUAUAGGCAGGUGCCUGGAGGCACUGAUCCUCGACAGGGGAACUCGAAGCGAAGCACGGGGGAACUGUUUUCCGUAUUGUGGAAAGAUCACCUUAUAGGCAGGUGCCUGGAGGCACUGAUCCUCGACACGGGAACUCGAAGCGAAGCACGAACGUGCAACAAGGUCGUUCUAUCCUUAUGGUAAGCGUUGCACGGGGGAACUGUUUUCCGUAUUGUGGAAAGAUCACCUUGUAGGCAGACUGGAGGCAAUGAUCCUCGACACGGGAACUCGAAGCGAGGCACGAACUUACAACAAUUUUGUUUCCAUCCUUAUGGUAAGCGAAGCACAGGGAACUAUUUUCCGUAUUGUGGAAAGAUCACCUGGUAGGCAGAAGGUUUCGUGAGCUAGACGAGUCUGCUAGGCUGGUGCUUCACUCUCUAGACAGUGGCAGGUGCUGUGGCGAGCUCUGAGCAGCUCGUCUGCAACGCAAUUCAUUCUGGGACUAGGUGCAGUUAGGCUGAGUCUGGGCUUCGCACUGGUCGUGGUUGACUCCUAGCUUAUCGAUUCGUGCUGUCGCAGGCAGUCGGUCUGCCUGUACACUUUACAUGCUCCCAGAAUAGCUAUGUACUCCGACUCCUUGUCGAAUGGAGCAGGCAUCGAGCCGAAACCCCGCCCCCCCACCAGUGGUGUGGCAAAGCCGUUCUGGCCCCGUGCUACGUACGCACUACCAGCACAGGCGCUACUGCGGGUGCUCAUGGCAAGUACUCGGCGCACGAUAGACCGUACGAAACAACCAGUAUAUUCGAGAGGAACUAGGGGUCAUGGAACCUGGAGGCCGGAUGCUGCAUGACGAACUUUUUUUCGAAUGCUAAUAUCCAUCCCACAGCCUAGGAACCAUGGCCAAUGUAAAUGCUUUUUUCAGAGAGAAACACGCGCCCAAUGGAGCGAUCAUUACGUUUCAAAAUAGAAAACAAUUCUUUCAUGGGAUUCAACCACGGAGCGCACGGAGGAAUAAAAAGCAGCUCUGCCCUUGAUAGAUUCGGCAAAAGCUCGAACGCGAGUCGAAUGGUGAAAUACCACGUUGUCCUAUAGAGGGAUGUCGCCAGACGCCAGCGGAAAAGUCUUCAAUGAUUCGGCAAAGUCGUUGGUGCCAUCGUAUGAAUCCUCUGUACCAGCGAAACCGCGGCCGGCAAAUGAAUCCACUACCGCUAGGACAGAUGAUGUCGUCAGAGUUCUCUUCGAGAUCCAUCGCGCACACAACGGGCUUCCUGCUCUGCGAGUAGUCACAUGCGCUCCAAAGGUUUCACUUAACGGAGUUCUCAUCGACUGAAAAAACCACCCCAAGUCCCAG
This 2543-nucleotide unclassified non-coding RNA is filed under the name Cyanidioschyzon merolae strain 10D. Its description in RNAcentral is "hypothetical transcript". The record is from RNAcentral. Lineage: Eukaryota; Rhodophyta; Bangiophyceae; Cyanidiales; Cyanidiaceae.